This is a long non-coding RNA of Fukomys damarensis (Damara mole-rat), 634 nucleotides long. RefSeq lists it as uncharacterized. The transcript is spliced from 4 exons. NCBI's taxonomy places the organism in Eukaryota, Metazoa, Chordata, Mammalia, Rodentia, Bathyergidae. The record is from RefSeq and is a predicted model, not a curated record.
CCGCCCGGGGCUGCUCCGGUAAGGGGUCCGACCGCGGGCGGAGAGCGCCAAGCCGUGGAGGAGCGGGCGUCAGGUGCAGAACUUCUGUAAGGUCUGGAAGCCGGACGUGCGUGGACGUUCAUACGCACGGACCUGAAGUUACGGAGGUCGCACUCACAGGCCGUUCUGCUGCACAGACCGGAGCCCCCGCUGCCAGUGUGUGUCCACCUGUACAGGAUUACCACCACCAUCUGAGAUAUCUGAUCAUUUCUCCAAUUAUAAGAUCCUCAUCCAUCUAGGAUUGGUACCACACUCUGAGUCAUCUGCUACUCCUUAUGAACCCAGUAAAUGGUGAAAAUUCCCAACAUGGGGAAUCAAGAUACAUCUGAAUAGCAAGAUCUGAAUAUCUGUCUUGAAUGAAAACAAACAUUGAAAACAGAAGAUGGAAGUCUGAUAGUUAUAUAUGAUGUUUCCUACUUGAGAAGAAUUACACAAAUUCAGCAUUAAAGACAACACAUCAAGGCUUCUGAAGCUUAUACAGGACCCAGAUAUUCCUGAUGUCUCUGGAAAGCUCCUUUGCUAUGAAAAGGAUAAUUACAAUGCAACCCCUGAAAGAACUCGAGAAAUAAACAUUUACAUCAACCUGUCAUGCUUU